ACCCGCCCUCACAUCUCUUGCUUUCUCAUCUGAUAGAUUUUUUUUUUUUAAAUUACACUAAGAACCAUGUCUCAAAGAACUUGCUUGGAAUAGAAACAUUGCCCAACACCACACAGAGUUCGUGAGGUUUUUUUUUUUUUUUUUUUUUUUGGUUCUUUUUUUCCCAGCAAAGUCAGCUGCUUGGCAGAGGUCCAAGUUUCAAGUUUCCUAAACGCUGAUGGUGGCCUUGAACGCAGGCCAGGCUCUCUGUCCAGCAGCGUAUAAAUCUCAGCUGCCUGAGCCUUACACAUGUGCCUCGUCUGCACAUGAUGUCCUCAACUAGCAACAUGAAGUUGGGCGGUCUCUUCCUCCUGGCCAGUCUCCUCACCCUCAACACAAGACUCCAGGCAAUUGGUGUCUGUGUGGACCAGUGCCGAGGAGACCAGGACUGCGCGGCAGGAGAGAAGUGCGUCAGCAAUGGCUGUGGCCACGUGUGCUCACCAGCCCCGCAAGCAACCAUCUGCAGCCGCGAGUGCAGUGAAGACAGGGAUUGCGGGAGAGGAAAACAGUGCGUCCAGGAUGGCUGUCGGCGAGUCUGCUCCCCGCUGAUGAGUGCAGGUGAGUCCUGACUCUCUGCACCCUGCUCUGUCCUGGAAGAGUUAAGUGCAGGGCGCGAUCUGAUCUGGCACAAUUGUGUGCUCAUCCAGAGAAACACACCGGAAUGCCUGAGGUGUUUAUGGUAAUCACUGUGUCUGGAGUCUCUUGUCUAGUCCAGCCUCUCUUCACUUGCCCAGGCCA
This 777-nucleotide long non-coding RNA is filed under the name Bos mutus (wild yak). RNAcentral describes it as "lncRNA (ENSBMUG00000012421.1)". Lineage: Eukaryota; Metazoa; Chordata; Mammalia; Artiodactyla; Bovidae. The record is from RNAcentral.